GACGAACGCUGGCGGCGUGCUUAACACAUGCAAGUCGAGCGGUAAGGCCCUUUCGGGGGUACACGAGCGGCGAACGGGUGAGUAACACGUGGGUGACCUGCCCUUAGCUCUGGGAUAAGCCUGGGAAACUGGGUCUAAUACCGGAUAUGACUCCAUGACGCAUGUUGUGGGGUGGAAAGCCUUGUGCGGCUAGGGAUGGGCCCGCGGCCUAUCAGCUUGUUGGUGGGGUGAUGGCCUACCAAGGCGACGACGGGUAGCCGGCCCGAGAGGGCGACCGGCCACACUGGGACUGAGACACGGCCCAGACUCCUACGGGAGGCAGCAGUGGGGAAUCUUGCGCAAUGGGCGAAAGCCUGACGCAGCGACGCCGCGUGA
This 375-nucleotide ribosomal RNA is filed under the name uncultured bacterium. RNAcentral describes it as "bacterial SSU rRNA". It matches the Rfam family "Bacterial small subunit ribosomal RNA", at positions 28 to 404 of the family's 1533-position model. The record is from RNAcentral.